Hyla sarda is the source of this 303-nucleotide small nucleolar RNA. The record is from RefSeq and is a predicted model, not a curated record. Lineage: Eukaryota; Metazoa; Chordata; Amphibia; Anura; Hylidae.
GCCAUAUGAUGAAUCCAAGGCGAAUGUGACCCCUGCAUCCUCUGGGUAGGUCCUCCUUGCUCUAUGCCUUUUGGUCUGUAAUCUUGGUGGUUGUGUAGGAGCGUCUCGCUGCCACUGUAAGGCCAGACCCACAGUAGCUAUUAUUGCUGGUCUUUCUAAGUUUAUCUGCCUACAGGAGUUUGUUGGUAGAAUUCGAGUGGACCUACAGGAUGGGCAGUCGGCUGUAUAAGGCUGGGCGGAGGGUGUUACUCACUAAGAGGUGAUGCAGAGACAUGAGCACAUAUCUUUGGUAAUCUGAUGGCU